GUGCUUGCUUUGGCAGCACGUAUACUGAAAUUGGAACAAUACAGAGGAGAUUAGCAUGGCCCCUGUGCAAAGAUGACACACAAAUUCGUGAAGUGUUCCAUAAUAUA
RNAcentral lists this small nuclear RNA (107 nucleotides) under Microcebus murinus (gray mouse lemur). The record is from RNAcentral. Lineage: Eukaryota; Metazoa; Chordata; Mammalia; Primates; Cheirogaleidae.